CCUACGGGUGGCAGCAGUAGGGAAUAUUGCUCAAUGGGGGAAACCCUGAAGCAGCAACGCAGCGUGGAGGAUGAAGGUUUUCGGAUCGUAAACUCCUUUUGCUAGAGAAGAUAAUGACGGUAUCUAACGAACAAGCACCGGCUAACUCCGUGCCAGCAGCCGCGGUAAUACGGAGGGUGCAAGCGUUAGUCGGAAGCAGUGGGCGUAAAGAGCGCGUAGGCGGGAUAGCAAGUCAGAUGUGAAAUCCUAUGGCUUAACCAUAGAACUGCAGUUGAAACUGGUAGUGUAGAGUAUGGGAGAGGUAGGUGGAAUUCUUGGUGUAGGGGUAAAAUCCGUAGAGAUCAAGAAGAAUACUCAUUGCGAAGGCGACCUGCUAGAACAUAACUGACGCUGAUGCGCGAAAGCGUGGGGAGCAAACAGGAUUAGAUACCCUUGUAGUC
This 440-nucleotide ribosomal RNA is filed under the name uncultured bacterium. RNAcentral's name for it is "partial 16S ribosomal RNA". It matches the Rfam family "Bacterial small subunit ribosomal RNA", at positions 338 to 795 of the family's 1533-position model. The record is from RNAcentral.